GACGAACGCUGGCGGCGUGCUUAACACAUGCAAGUCGAACGGAAAGGCCCUUCGGGGUACUCGAGUGGCGAACGGGUGAGUAACACGUGGGUGAUCUGCCCUGCACUUUGGGAUAAGCCUGGGAAACUGGGUCUAAUACCGAAUAGGACCACGCGCUUCAUGGUGUGUGGUGGAAAGCUUUUGCGGUGUGGGAUGGGCCCGCGGCCUAUCAGCUUGUUGGUGGGGUAAUGGCCUCCCAAGGCGACGACGGGUAGCCGGCCUGAGAGGGUGACCGGCCACACUGGGACUGAGAUACGGCCCAGACUCCUACGGGAGGCAGCAGUGGGGAAUAUUGCACAAUGGGCGCAAGCCUGAUGCAGCGACGCCGCGUGAGGGAUGACGGCCUUCGGGUUGUAAACCUCUUUCAAUAGGGACGAAGCGCAAGUGACGGUACCUAUAGAAGAAGCACCGGCCAACUACGUG
This 462-nucleotide ribosomal RNA is filed under the name uncultured bacterium. Its description in RNAcentral is "partial 16S ribosomal RNA". It matches the Rfam family "Bacterial small subunit ribosomal RNA", at positions 28 to 507 of the family's 1533-position model. The record is from RNAcentral.